RNAcentral lists this ribosomal RNA (560 nucleotides) under Schwanniomyces occidentalis. Its description in RNAcentral is "eukaryotic LSU rRNA". It matches the Rfam family "Eukaryotic large subunit ribosomal RNA", at positions 68 to 644 of the family's 3401-position model. The record is from RNAcentral. Lineage: Eukaryota; Fungi; Ascomycota; Pichiomycetes; Serinales; Debaryomycetaceae.
ACAGGGAUUGCCUUAGUAACGGCGAGUGAAGCGGCAAAAGCUCAAAUUUGAAAUCUGGCACCUUCGGUGUCCGAGUUGUAAUUUGAAGAAGGUAACUUUGGGAUUGGCUCUUGUCUAAGUUCCUUGGAACAGGACGUCACAGAGGGUGAGAAUCCCGUGCGAUGAGAUGACCAAUCCUAUGUAAAGUGCUUUCGAAGAGUCGAGUUGUUUGGGAAUGCAGCUCUAAGUGGGUGGUAAAUUCCAUCUAAAGCUAAAUAUUGGCGAGAGACCGAUAGCGAACAAGUACAGUGAUGGAAAGAUGAAAAGAACUUUGAAAAGAGAGUGAAAAAGUACGUGAAAUUGUUGAAAGGGAAGGGCUUGAGAUCAGACUUGGUAUUUUGCAUUCCUUACCUUCGUGGUGGGGUUCCUUGCAGUUUACUGGGCCAGCAUCGGUUUGGAUGGUGGGAUAAUGACAUUGGAAUGUGGCUCUGCUUCGGUAGAGUGUUAUAGCCAGUGUUGAUACCGCCUGUCUAGACCGAGGACUGCGUCUUUGACUAGGAUGCUGGCAUAAUGAUCUUAAG